RNAcentral lists this ribosomal RNA (238 nucleotides) under uncultured bacterium. RNAcentral's name for it is "partial 16S ribosomal RNA". It matches the Rfam family "Bacterial small subunit ribosomal RNA", at positions 96 to 334 of the family's 1533-position model. The record is from RNAcentral.
CGGCGGACGGGUGAGUAACGCGUGGGUAACCUGCCUCAUACAGGGGGAUAACAGUUGGAAACGGCUGCUAAUACCGCAUAAGCGCACGGUACCGCAUGGUACGGUGUGAAAAACUCCGGUGGUAUGAGAUGGACCCGCGUCUGAUUAGGUAGUUGGUGGGGUAACGGCCUACCAAGCCGACGAUCAGUAGCCGACCUGAGAGGGUGACCGGCCACAUUGGGACUGAGACACGGCCCAA